AAUCUAUCACCUAACCUUCAAUCCUCUGCAUGUCAGCCACUAAUUUUAAAGAAAGAAACAAGACCUCUAAGUUAACCCUAAUAUUGAGACAUUGUAGAAAAAAAGGAAGAAAAAAAUAUAUUAUCUUUCUCUAAUUCUCAGGCUCCUAAACUAUAGAAAACUUAACCACGCUGAGGUUAAUAGCUGAAUUAAAUACAUUUUCGAUAAAAUAAUAAAUUUA
This 220-nucleotide unclassified non-coding RNA is filed under the name Hevea brasiliensis (rubber tree). The record is from RNAcentral. Lineage: Eukaryota; Viridiplantae; Streptophyta; Magnoliopsida; Malpighiales; Euphorbiaceae.